UCUCUCUCUCUCUCUCUCUCUUCAGGCAUCAUUUUGUAUUACUGUCUGAUCGCUUUAAUGCAGAAGUCUGUAACUCCACACAUAAAACCCAAACCGAUUGAAAAGUUUUUGUAAAGCAUAUUCAAGGCCAUGCCUCUUAGAAAGAGCAUUUCCAAUUCAACAGGAACACCAGCUGAUGAUUGGUGGCUGGGAGUUAACCUUGCACCGAUUUUGGUUUUAAAUAGGAAAGCUGCUCACGUUGCUUGUGUUGUUUAAGACUCCAUGUUGUUGUUUCAUGUUGGUGAUUGAGCUCCUCCUCUGGCAUCAUGGCAUCACUCGACAGUGAAAAGUUCAAAGAAUACAUGCAGAAAGUUGGUAUGAAAGAGCCUUUACUGACAUUUACCUGCUCAGCCAAGCCUAAUCUGAUCAUCACCAGGGAUAAGGAGACGAUUUCAGUAGAGGCUAAAAGCACUUUGAAAACGGACAAGAUCAAGUUCAAGCUGAAUGAAGAGUUUGAUGAGAAGACACCAGACAGUCGUCAGGUACAGUCCAAGUUCUUCCUGAGAAAUGGCAAACUCAUCCAGGAAUAGCGCUGGGAUGGAAAGAGUACAACGCUGGAGAGAGUGACUGAAAAUGGAAAGCUUGAAGUUAAAUGCAUCAUGGGUGAAGUUGUUGCAACAAGGAUCUAUGAAAAGGAAGCAUGACCUCCCCAUAACACAAACAAAUGCAACUUUCUACUCAGUUGUGGUUAUUUAAUACCGUCUCUGCCUUGUUGUGUGCUUUCAUUGACUUCAUCUGUAAGGGUCUACAAAUAUGCUGUAAAAUUGUGGGUGGAGCUUAUGUUCAGCUCCUCAUGUACAAGUUUGUAAGUCUGAGAUUUCAAAGCUACUCAUCAACACAAAACCGAACUGGAAUGAUUUUCCCAGCACUUAAAAAUUGCAACUUGUCAGAUAUUUGGAGAUGAAUUUGACCUGCCAUUUACAUGAAGACUUUCUUUAUUCAGAGCAAAUGCUAAUAACACAAUAGAACAUCUCAAGACUCUUCAGACAGCAAGAAUUAUGAGGGAUUGAGAAGCAGUGGAAACAAUCGGAGAGGCUAAUUAUACCAUAUUUGACAAAAAACAUAAAUUUCACUGAAGUGGGUUUGAAGCAUGUUUACUUUUAUAACUGACGAUCUCCCAUCAGGCUAACCACAGACUCUAAAUUAUCCUCAGCUGUUGGUACAUGUAUUAACGCUCGCCCAUUUUUGUUUACCUCUGUGGUAGACUGGUCACUUAUCUAAGUUUACUUGCAUUUAUCCCUAUUUUGAACUUGAACAGAAUUUUAUCUUCAACAAUCCUGCAUUAGUACACAAGUACAGACAAGUAUGCAUUCCUACACGCUGUUUUAUUUCUGGUAACAAAUGAGAAAUGUUCUUGUUUUAGUAUUAAGCUUUAAUGUCGUUAAAAAAGCAACACAUUGCACAAGAAAUCUCUGAAGCCAGAACUGUGUCAUCAGUAAAGAGUAGCAGGUCCUCUCUUUGGCUUCUGCUCUGAGUCAGAGGAACUUUCCUAAACCUUUUCCUUGUUGGAAAAAUAUAAUCAUCAAAUGUUUUUCCAGUGAACAUUGCGGUUAGCAUGUCUUUUUGGUGAACGAUAUAUCUGACUGCUGUCUCGAUAAAACUUUGGGGUAUUUUAUUGGCUUUUUGUGGUUUUAUGAUAGACCUCCCGGGAAGGAGACACGACAAGGACUGAUCUGAUAUUUGGAAACAGACUGGAGGCGACGUGUGAGAUGUGUCACAUUAAACAGAUAAUUAGAUAUUCCUUCUACUUUUUUUCCAGUUGAACUUCAGUGACUCACCACAAUACUAAGGAAGACUAUUGCCCUUAGGCCUCCGUCUUACUCUGGCGGUAAGUCUUUUUGUGAAUUGGGUAUAGCAUUAGUGUUCGUGUUUAUUAUCCACCUGUUUAGUAUCCUACUGUA
Molecule: non-coding RNA, 1940 nt
Organism: Poecilia reticulata (guppy)
Lineage: Eukaryota; Metazoa; Chordata; Actinopteri; Cyprinodontiformes; Poeciliidae
Source: RefSeq, a predicted model, not a curated record